ACUGAAACACCUGCAGCGACACAUGGAGGAAACAGAAGGGUCACAGGAACUGGAACCGAUCAGCCCAUCAGAGUUCAGCUGAGCUGAAAUGUGAGCCGUGGGUGGGGAAAUGUGAAACAUCACCAUAUGAAAACGCUCCGACCUCAACUCCUCCGUCUUCGUUUGACGUUCCACCAUCACGUUCCUGUCAGUGUUUUGUCACUGUGCUGCUCGGAGUACACAGGGAUCGAUGCGGCCGCCGUUCGCCAGUGCUCCUGUGUGAAACCGCAGACAGCUCAGACGGCUCCUCACCGUGUUGGCACAUCACUGUCGAUUAAUGUCAGCUCACGUCCACACUCUGACAGAUGAGCGCCGCGUACAGCAGCGGCUGCUCAAAGGUAAAGGCUAAACAAAGCAGAAACCAGUCUGUACGGACCUGAAGAUGGGACCGAGUGGAGCUGAAGGCACAAACAAACGCGGGCGAACAGAAAACGCAGACGUGAUGCAGAGAUACGCGUGUCUGUGUGUCGUUAGCAGACAGUGAGAGGCUGCUCUCCAUGUUGAAAACCACACAGACUCAGUGUAAAGAAUGAGCCUUUGGCUACGACCUAAUAAAACUGACAGAGUUCUGUUCCUCGGUUCCACCAACAGAACAGUCAGACUUGGAGAGAAAGUCAUUUAUUUUAUUAUUUGUCUUUUACUAUUUGGUG
Cynoglossus semilaevis (tongue sole) is the source of this 689-nucleotide long non-coding RNA. RefSeq lists it as uncharacterized. The record is from RefSeq and is a predicted model, not a curated record. NCBI's taxonomy places the organism in Eukaryota, Metazoa, Chordata, Actinopteri, Pleuronectiformes, Cynoglossidae. The transcript is spliced from 4 exons.